Molecule: long non-coding RNA, 4053 nt
Filed under: Macaca fascicularis (crab-eating macaque)
Lineage: Eukaryota; Metazoa; Chordata; Mammalia; Primates; Cercopithecidae
Description: lncRNA (ENSMFAG00000050130.1)
Source: RNAcentral
AUGUUACCAUCACCUGGCAUUACCCAGGAGGUAACUCGCAGAUGCCACACUGAUGGAAAGCUACGGCAGCGUGGUUCGAGUCCAGGGCCAGCUGGAGCAUAUCAGCAAGGUUGGGCUUGGACGUAUGUGCUCCACCCAGUGGGUGGGUCUGUGGAGCUGGGGUGUCGUGAGAGCCAGAGGGUCCUGGUAGAACCCUGCCAGAUGACAGGAAAGAACCAGUGGAAUCGAGGCAGGGAGCCGAAGGAGCUCAGGAAGGAGCGAGCCGUCACAGGGCGGGAGGCUCAGGAGCCAGCAGGAAUGGGUGCAAACUUCUAACAGGGACCUGACAAAAGAGAAGGAUUUCUUCUCUGCAAAGUGAAGGUCGGGGCUGGUUGGCAUUUGCCAUCUGUGACUAGCAGGGACCCAGGCUGCUGCCCGACUCCUGACCCUGCAACUCCUGCCCCUGUUCCCACCAGCAGGAAGAAGAGCGGGAAGUUGCCUUUUCCCCUUUAAGGGGAUGAGGUGAGAGUUGUGCCUGCCAUUUCGCUGGUCCCUGGGGUGAUUCUCCAGCAUGGAUGGAAGUUGGCUUUGGCGGCCUGAGCCCUGUGAAGCUGGGGUUGCUGUUCCCUGAGCAGCAGGAAGCCUGGACUCUGGGAAGUGGGGUCAGAGGGUAGCCUUUGCUGCAUCCACAGGAGGGGGCCCCUCAUUCCAGUUGACAUCAUCACUGCAGAGGGGGGUGUGGGCUUUCAUGGUCCAUUGAUAAAUAGAACGUUCCUUUUUUUUUUUUUUUUUUUUGGUAAAUCACAUCAAACCCUAAUUCCUUCAGCCUUUACUAAAGUUGCAUUUUGUAAUUCCACAUGAUUGCAUUAUACCUGCAGGAGAGAAUGCUUCCUGUAAACCAGAAGCCUCUCUGAGGUAAUUCUUGGCCCAUUCAGUGAGUUCAUUUUCCCAAGGUUAAAAACAGCCUCAGGAGGGGUUGAGGACGCACCGUGACAGUCUCAGGAGGGGUUGAGGAUACACCCGGGACACAGCCUCAGGAGGGGUUGAGGACGCACUGUGACAGUCUCAGGAGGGGUUGAGGACGCACUGUGACAGUCUCAGGAGGGGUUGAGGACGCACUGUGACAGUCUCAGGAGGGGUUGAGGAUACAGCCGGGACACAGCCUCAGGAGGGGUUGAGGACGCACCGUGAUAGUCUCAGGUCCUGGACAUGUGCCCAAGGUGUUUGGGGCACAACUUGGUCUAACACAUUUUAGGGAGAUGUGAGACAUCAAUAUAUGUGAGAUGUACGUUGGUUUGGUCCAGGUUUCCAGGUCACAGGUGGAUCAGAGACAGAUGCGUUUCCGGUGAGCCUUUCCGGAGAAAGCAGUAAGACCCGCAUUUAUCUCUGUGAGCAGAUGGUGACUUUGAGUUCUGCCCUCUGUCCCUGAGGAAUUUCCUUGUGGACCAACGGUUGUGAGGGAGGUACAUGCCUUUUUUUUCUUUCUUUUUUCUUCCAGUCUCUGUUAGGAGCCUGGGAGGCAAGUUUGCCCUAAGCCGUUCCCCACCUUGUCUUCCCUUUAGCUUAGUGAUUUCGGGGUCCUGAGAUGUACUUUCACUUCACACUUCUGAGCACACUGGCACUCUAAACAGUGUUGUACGAGGCCGUCUAACUGAUUUAGAAGAAGAAACUAUUUGGAAGGACUUGAGCACCUUUGUCCUUGAGAGAAACAAGCCUUUGUUUAUUUACCCCGAGGCUGUUACGCUGUUCCAGGGUGGGCGGCCUUAGAAAGCUGUGCCUCUCUGAGCGCCUGCCUGUGGAAUCUGGUGACUUUGAAGUUAAUCCAGCAGCUACAUGUUUUGGAAAGCAGGUUGUCUCUUAAAGUGUUGAUGAUUAUGAUUCUAACACCGGAAUUUCAACGUGUACUUUCCACCCUUCUUUCUUUGUCUCCUCAUACCCUGACAUUUGCCCUUAGAGUUCAUUGAGGGAGGGUCAGUUCUGGCCCUUUCUUUAGAUAUUGACCUUGAAUGGACAGAAUCGAGAUUCAGAAAAAUCCUUGAGCUGUGAGAGUGUGCCGAUAUCUAUGUAAGUGGAAUUCAUGUGUUAAACUCAGUAAGAGUUUAAGAAAUAUCAAUUCUAGGCUGGGCAUAGUGGCUCACACCUGUAAUCCCAGCACCUUGGGAGGCUGAGGUGAGUAGAUUCAGUUUUGAGCCCAGGAGUUUGAGACCAGCCUGGGCAACAUAGCAAGACCCUGACUCUACAAAAAAGUAGAUAGUGGUGGUGUGCACCUGUGGUCCCAGAUAGUCAGGAGGCUGCGGCUGGAGGAUCACCCAAGCCUGGGAAGUUGAGGCUGCAGUGAAUCAUGACAGCACCACUCUACUCAUGGUACACUGUGCCUGAGUGACAGAACAAGAACCCCUGCCACCACACACACACACACACACAAUCAAUUCUAAAUGGACAAAAAUGAGACCUUUUAAGUGGAAAAACAUCCUGUUUGGUUGCUCUACUUAGGUAACUGUUGACUCACUUGCCAGUAAGAAAAUGCAGUGACCAGUUCUGCUGGGACCAUCUGUUAAGGCUACUCUGGGCCUCAUGGUUUGAGAAGGAUCUGUCCAGGGGAGAGUGGGAGUGGCUUAAGGGCCUAGAAGCCAGUUCUUGUGGUUCAGUGUGACUGCGGGUGUGGAGCUGGGGGCAGGGCUCUCCAGGGCAUGAGUGGGUAAACAGAUGGGCUUCCAGGAUGAGCCCCUGUGACUUUGCCUGGUUUACAUCCAUCCAAUACAGAUCCACAGGCUCUUACUCUAGAAGCUUCUGCCCGGGCUGAUGGACUGGCCUGGGGCCAGAGGGUGCCUUCUGGUUUAGCAAGAGCACUUAGUCACCUAGAUCUAGGAUUUAUGGCACUACAGGGGACUUGUCACACUUGGAGCAGCAGCCAUCUGCAUUCUAGACUUGGUUCUAGGCGAAGUAUUUUGGAGGCUGUUGGUACUCUGUGUUCUGUUUAUCUGUAAAACAAGUUAGAGUUGUAACUAUUUUUAAAAUUUUGCCACAGAAUAUGGCAGUUGUGGUAGAGCUUGUCCAGAGGCCCCAACACUCAGACACUACCAUGUGCUGGGGUUGCAAGCUUUGUCUGCAUCGGCUGCUCCUCCUGCCGUGUCUGUGUUCUUGACACAGGAGCCCAUUGAGGCUCGGCCUGUGGGACUCGUGCAGCCAUUUGUCCGUGUUCCUCUGAGGUUCCGCAGACUUCACGGUCCCGUGGCAGAGCGUACGGUAUCUACUUGCAUCCUGAUUUCCCCAAACCCCAGGACAGGCCAAGAAUUCCUUACACACAAAUGCAGAGGGCCCCGUGGUGUGGAUUUGCAAGUGACACAGCUUUUCCCCAGCUCGGCCUUCGCCUCCAGAGUUGGCUUUAGGGCGAUAGAAGCUUCCAUCAGACUGGGGGGCCCUGAAGCUUUGGUGGUAGGAAUUGGGUGACCAGCACGGAUGAUACCCCUUUUAUAUUUGUAGCAAUAGUUGUUAACACGACCACGAGUUGUACAGAGAAAGGAAAAAAGGAGGUUUUAUUUUCAGAGUAAGUCUGUGCUUUGGGAAAUGUGGUCUCGGGGGAGCUGUAAGCACGCGCCCCUCAGGAGCAGGGGAGGUGGCGGCGUUAAACGUUCCGGUUUUUGUUCGCUGUGUGUGUUCAUCGGGUUCAUGGAAUGUCUGAAUACUUAUGGGGAAAGUCUAGCACACGCGUAAUGAGUUAACCUGUAACAUCCAUGUUUGCCUUGGGGCUAGCGUAACGUUAGAAAUGAGGUGGACUCAGCGUGUCAUGUACAAAGGUGAGCUUUUGGGCGCAGACGUUUAUGCGCAGCCUCAGUCACAGCCAGGAGUGGCUCAGGGUCUGCGGCUUCUGGCGGGAAAGGACACUCACGAGGCCAUUCUGUCCAGUCGGGGCUGCCGGCAGGGUCCCAGGGUGGGGUUGUCUGGUCGGCCAGGGUCGGAAGUGCACCCGGGUCCCGUGGGCAGCGUUCCUCUAAACCAGGUUUCUGUCUGAUGGCGGAGGAGACUUCAGGCUGAUUAACAAACUGUACAGGAGUUACUGUCGUGGGGCUUCAG